This 315-nucleotide long non-coding RNA is filed under the name Coturnix japonica (Japanese quail). Its description in RNAcentral is "lncRNA (ENSCJPG00005012458.1)". Lineage: Eukaryota; Metazoa; Chordata; Aves; Galliformes; Phasianidae. The record is from RNAcentral.
GCUCUAAAAGUUGGAUUAAGAUCUUUACUUCAGCAGCUGAGGUCAGUGGCUCCUGUCGUUUGGUCUGCACUUCUCCUCACUCAGAGACUGGUCCCAAAUACAGACCCUCAGCCUAAGAAACAGUCACACUCAGGAAACUGGGAAAAAGAGUCCUGAGGGCAGAAAGAAAUGAGAUCUACCUGGUGGAGGCAGAACAAAAAGAUUAUACCACCUGUGUAAGUAAACAAGAGCAGCACUUUGUGUCAUUUUAUGCUUUUGCCUAUUGAAAGAAAAAAAAAGUACUGCAGACACUUCUGAAAUUAUAAAUCAUUUGAG